CAGCCGCCACGGUAAUACAGAGGGUGCGAGCGUUAAUCGGAUUUACUGGGCGUAAAGCGUGCGUAGGCGGCUUCUUAAGUCGGAUGUGAAAUCCCUGAGCUUAACUUAGGAAUUGCAUUCGAUACUGGGAAGCUAGAGUAUGGGAGAGGAUGGUAGAAUUCCAGGUGUAGCGGUGAAAUGCGUAAAGAUCUGGAGGAAUACCGAUGGCGAAGGCAGCCAUCUGGCCUAAUACUGACGCUGAGGUACGAAAGCAUGGGGAGCAAACAGGAUUAGAGACCCCGGUAGUCCCUGUCUCUUAUAC
This 301-nucleotide ribosomal RNA is filed under the name uncultured bacterium. RNAcentral describes it as "partial 16S ribosomal RNA". It matches the Rfam family "Bacterial small subunit ribosomal RNA", at positions 509 to 807 of the family's 1533-position model. The record is from RNAcentral.